Molecule: ribosomal RNA, 253 nt
Filed under: uncultured bacterium
Lineage: Bacteria
Description: partial 16S ribosomal RNA
Rfam family: Bacterial small subunit ribosomal RNA
Source: RNAcentral
UACGUAGGAGGCAAGCGUUGUCCGGAAUUACUGGGCGUAAAGCGCGUGUAGGUGGUGGGACAAGUCUGCUGUGAAAGCGCCUGGCUUAACCGGGCGAGGUCGGCGGAAACUGUCCGACUCGAGGACGGUAGAGGGGGGUGGAAUUCCCGGUGUAGUGGUGAAAUGCGUAGAGAUCGGGAGGAACACCUGUGGCGAAGGCGGCCCCCUGGGCCGGCCCUGACACUGAGACGCGAAAGCGUGGGGAGCAAACAGG